UUAAAUUGAAGAGUUUGAUCAUGGCUCAGAUUGAACGCUGGCGGCAGGCCUAACACAUGCAAGUCGAACGGUAACAGGAAGCAGCUUGCUGCUUUGCUGACGAGUGGCGGACGGGUGAGUAAUGUCUGGGA
This 131-nucleotide ribosomal RNA is filed under the name Escherichia coli. Its description in RNAcentral is "partial 16S ribosomal RNA". It matches the Rfam family "Bacterial small subunit ribosomal RNA", at positions 1 to 122 of the family's 1533-position model. The record is from RNAcentral. Lineage: Bacteria; Pseudomonadati; Pseudomonadota; Gammaproteobacteria; Enterobacterales; Enterobacteriaceae. RNAcentral also lists the same sequence under 7 other names.